ACGAACGCUGGCGGCGUGCUUAACACAUGCAAGUCGAACGGAAAGGCCCUGCUUUUGUGGGGUGCUCGAGUGGCGAACGGGUGAGUAACACGUGAGUAACCUGCCCUUGACUUUGGGAUAACUUCAGGAAACUGGGGCUAAUACCGGAUAGGAGCUCCUGCUGCAUGGUGGGGGUUGGAAAGUUUCGGCGGUUGGGGAUGGACUCGCGGCUUAUCAGCUUGUUGGUGGGGUAGUGGCUUACCAAGGCUUUGACGGGUAGCCGGCCUGAGAGGGUGACCGGCCACAUUGGGACUGAGGUACGGCCCAGACUCCUACAGGAGGCAGCAGUGGGGAAUAUUGCACAAUGGGCGGAAGCCUGAUGCAGCAACGCCGCGUGCGGGAUGACGGCCUUCGGGUUGUAAACCGCUUUCGCCUGUGACGAAGCGUGAGUGACGGUAAUGAGUAAAGAAGCACCGGCUAACUACGUG
RNAcentral lists this ribosomal RNA (467 nucleotides) under uncultured bacterium. Its description in RNAcentral is "partial 16S ribosomal RNA". It matches the Rfam family "Bacterial small subunit ribosomal RNA", at positions 29 to 507 of the family's 1533-position model. The record is from RNAcentral.